UACGGAGGGUGCAAGCGUUGUUCGGAAUUAUUGGGCGUAAAGGGCGCGUAGGCGGCGUGGUAAGUCACUUGUGAAAUCUCUGAGCUUAACUCAGAACGGCCAAGUGAUACUGCUGUGCUCGAGUGUGGAAGGGGCAAUCGGAAUUCUUGGUGUAGCGGUGAAAUGCGUAGAUAUCAAGAGGAACACCUGAGGUGAAGACGGGUUGCUGGGCCAACACUGACGCUGAGGCGCGAAAGCCAGGGGAGCAAACGGG
This 253-nucleotide ribosomal RNA is filed under the name uncultured bacterium. Its description in RNAcentral is "partial 16S ribosomal RNA". It matches the Rfam family "Bacterial small subunit ribosomal RNA", at positions 524 to 776 of the family's 1533-position model. The record is from RNAcentral.